Long non-coding RNA from Lactuca sativa (garden lettuce), 326 nucleotides. RefSeq lists it as uncharacterized. The record is from RefSeq and is a predicted model, not a curated record. Lineage: Eukaryota; Viridiplantae; Streptophyta; Magnoliopsida; Asterales; Asteraceae.
UAUCUGAGUUUGCUGAGGAGGCAUGGAACCCAGCUGCUCCCUGCUGCCAAUCUCGAUUGAAUACAAAGCAAACAUUCCAACUCUUAAAUCUCUUGCUCCAAUGAAUCCACGCAUGAUGAUUGAAACACGGACAUCCAUAAUAAAAGUUUAAUAGGAGUUGAUGAUUAUGAUUGAAUAGAGAUUGAAUGGAGUGUGAGUGAAGAUAUGAAGGAUGGUUGAAUGGAAGGGUUGUAUAAUAAUUGAAUAAUUGAAUAAAAUUAAUCUUUAUUUUUCAAUUAAAUUUGAAACCAAAUAUAUAUGUAAUCAUAUUCUCUUAUUUUUUUAUA